GGCUCAAUAUAGUGGUAGCUUUUAAUCAAGGUGUCCGGAGUUCGAAUCUCCGAUGGGUCACCA
This 63-nucleotide transfer RNA is filed under the name Ruminococcus sp. Its description in RNAcentral is "tRNA-Ser". RNAcentral also lists the same sequence under 3 other names. The record is from RNAcentral. Lineage: Bacteria; Bacillati; Bacillota; Clostridia; Eubacteriales; Oscillospiraceae.